RNAcentral lists this small RNA (26 nucleotides) under Bombyx mori (domestic silkworm). RNAcentral's name for it is "ovarian small RNA-14987". Lineage: Eukaryota; Metazoa; Arthropoda; Insecta; Lepidoptera; Bombycidae. The record is from RNAcentral.
CUUCCCAACACCGUUGGAUGCAGCGC